Molecule: ribosomal RNA, 171 nt
Filed under: Triticum aestivum (bread wheat)
Lineage: Eukaryota; Viridiplantae; Streptophyta; Magnoliopsida; Poales; Poaceae
Description: partial small subunit ribosomal RNA
Source: RNAcentral
AUGUUAAUAUUCAAUGAAUUCAUACGAAAACAGUCGCUGGUGGAACUGCCAAUCAAAGGACGAUCGUUCACUUGGAGCAAUAUGCAAAAUAACCCACUGCUCGAACAGUUAGAUUGGCAUUUCACCUCUGUUAACUGGGUGGUCAAAUUUCCGAACACUGUAGUCAUGCCU